This 806-nucleotide ribosomal RNA is filed under the name uncultured bacterium. Its description in RNAcentral is "bacterial SSU rRNA". It matches the Rfam family "Bacterial small subunit ribosomal RNA", at positions 1 to 807 of the family's 1533-position model. The record is from RNAcentral.
UUAGAGUUUGAUCCUGGCUCAGGAUGAACGCUAGCGGCAGGCUUAACACAUGCAAGUCGAGGGGCAGCAUGUCCAGCAAUGGAUGAUGGCGACCGGCGGAAGGGUGCGUAACGCGUGAGCAACAUGCCCUAUACAGGGAGAUACACCAGGGAAACUUGGUCUAAUAUCCCAUAGCAUUCAUUGAAGGCAUCUUUAAUGAAUUAAAGCUUCGGUGGUAUAGGAUUGGCUCGCGUGACAUUAGCCAGAUGGUGAGGUAACGGCUCACCAUAGCAAUGAUGUCUAGGGGUUUUGAGAGGAAGGCCCCCCACACUGGGACUGAGACACGGCCCAGACUCCUACGGGAGGCAGCAGUGAGGAAUAUUGGACAAUGGAUGGAAAUCUGAUCCAGCCAUGCCGCGUGCAGGAAGACGGCCUUAUGGGUUGUAAACUGCUUUUAUACGGGAGCAAUAAGGGUUACGAGUAAUCCGAUGAGGGUACUGUAUGAAUAAGGAUCGGCUAACUCCGUGCCAGCAGCCGCGGUAAUACGGAGGAUCCGAGCGUUAUCCGGAAUUAUUGGGUUUAAAGGGUGCGUAGGCGGCCAUUUAAGUCAGCGGUGAAAUUUUGCAGCUUAACUGUAACAGUGCCGUUGAUACUGUUUGGCUAGGAUUUGGUUGUAGUGUGCGGAAUGUGUGGCGUAGCGGUGAAAUGCUUAGAUAUCACACAGAACACCGAUUGCGAAGGCAGCACACUAAGUCAUUAUUGACGCUGAGGCACGAAAGUGUGGGGAUCAAACAAGGUUAGAUACCCUGGUAGUCCACACUGUAAAC